UACGAAGGGUGCAAACGUUGCUCGGAAUUAUUGGGCGUAAAGCGCACGUAGGCGGCUUGGCAAGUCGGAUGUGAAAUCCCUCGGCUCAACCAAGGAAGUGCAUCCGAAACUGCUGAGCUUGAGUACUUAAGAGGAUCGCGGAAUUCCCGGUGUAGAGGUGAAAUUCGUAGAUAUCGGGAGGAACACCAGUGGCGAAGGCGGCUUCCUGGCCUGCUCUUGACGCUGAGGCGCGAAAGCUAGGGUAGCAAACGGG
RNAcentral lists this ribosomal RNA (253 nucleotides) under uncultured bacterium. RNAcentral describes it as "partial 16S ribosomal RNA". It matches the Rfam family "Bacterial small subunit ribosomal RNA", at positions 524 to 776 of the family's 1533-position model. The record is from RNAcentral.